Molecule: long non-coding RNA, 1601 nt
Filed under: Homo sapiens (human)
Lineage: Eukaryota; Metazoa; Chordata; Mammalia; Primates; Hominidae
Description: HSALNT0183846
Source: RNAcentral
CAGAUUGUAUAACAAGAGCUAGCCCAUCUCUGCUUAUGUCUCAUGAGUACACAUUUAACCUUCCUCACGGCCUGGACAAGGUCAACCACUUUUCAGGGCAGUCAAUCUCAAAGUUCUUUGACCAGAGGAGUUUUUGUCCUGAAGCCACCGUUCCCGCCUCUGUUCCCACAGGACUAGUUCUACAUCAAUGAAGGCCAUCAGCAUGUACGUCCUUCUCCAUAAAACCAUGCAGCCUAACUUGGAAGCUGCUACAGCUUGCAUCCUGGCCUGCAGCCUUGCCUUCCCAGGGCCAAACUCUGUUCUUCCGCGACCCAGAGAUUUGGGUGCUUUGAGAACUGGGAGGUAAAAGGGGUGGGUGCGUGGAGGAAGGCCAACUGAGAGUCAGAAGACCUCAGUUUCAGCCCUGGUGGUUCCAUUCACCCUGUGCGACCUUGAGGGGUGUCCCUCAUGUCUCUGGCCUGUAGAUUCUUCAUCGAUAAAAGAAAAAGGUGACUUGAGAUGGUCUCAGAGGCCUUGUUAGUUCCAGUUACCUGUGACUCAUAGUGGGGAGGUGUUGGUGAAAGGGCUGGAGAGGACCCUGUGGGGGACCAAUUUCUCCACACUUUUGUAUGCACCACUUCAUCCCAAAUAUUUGAUAACCUUACUUGGUCUCUGAAACUUUUAUGCAAAAAGACUUUUAAAAAAUCUUAUACUUUUAUUCCUCUGCAGUUUCAGUCUCUGGGAUCUGGCCUCUGUGCAGACAUAAGGAUGUUGAAAGGAAUGAUGGCAUCCACCAAUCCAACCUCCCACUGGCACAGUCACCUAAAGGCUUGUGAAAAUCUCCAUUGCAUCAACCCCAGUAUCAAAGCCUCAGUGUGCCUCACUUUGCUAGGAGCGAUGCCACAUCUCCCAUUCCUGGAUAGAGGGAGGGCUCCAGGAGAACUGAAGUGUGUGAGUCCCUGUGGCCUGGAAGGAGAGGAGAGAAACCAGGGGCAUAGUCUGGGGCCAUAGUGCCAAGGACUGAGUAUCCUGGGGCUUCCAGCUGCAGGAACGGUGCCUGAGGAUGGAAGCUGGAGGCCAGGACCAGGUGGACAGCUCCUAAUCAGGAUUCCAUACAGCAGGAAUCCCCAACUUCUGGGCCGUGGACCAGUACCCGUUCGUGGCCUGUUAGGAACUGGCCACACAGCAGGAAGUGAGCAGCGGGCAAGGGAGCAUGACCACCUGAGUUCUCCCUCCUGUCAGAUCAGAGGCCACAUUAGAUUCUCAUAGGAGCGUGAACCCUAUUGUGAAGUGCGCACGUGAGAGAUCUAGGUUGCACACUCCUUACAAAAAUCUAACUAAUGCCUGAUGAUCUGAGGUGGAACAGCUUCAUCCUGAAACCUUCCCCCACCACCAUCCAUGGAAAAAGGUCACCAAAAAGGUUGGGGACUCCUGCCAUCCAGGACAUGACAUUACCUCUUACCAUCAUGUUUCCUCAGACCUCUCUUGGCUGGGACAAUUUCCCAGACUUUUCUUGUUUUUGAUGAGUUUUGACGAGUACGAUCAGGUUAUUGUGUAGAACAACCUUCCGUCGGAGUUUGUCUGGUGGUUUUGUUAUGAUUAGACUGUGCUCUGCAUCUGUG